Molecule: ribosomal RNA, 450 nt
Filed under: uncultured bacterium
Lineage: Bacteria
Description: partial 16S ribosomal RNA
Rfam family: Bacterial small subunit ribosomal RNA
Source: RNAcentral
CCUACGGGUGGCUGCAGUGGGGAAUUUUGGACAAUGGGGGCAACCCUGAUCCAGCCAUGCCGCAUGCGGGAAGAAGGCCUUCGGGUUGUAAACCGCUUUCGGCCGGAACGAAAUCGCCGGGGAGAACAUCCCCGGUGGAUGACGGUACCGGAAGAAGAAGCACCGGCUAACUACGUGCCAGCAGCCGCGGUAAUACGUAGGGUGCGAGCGGUAAUCGGAACGUGCGGACGUAAAGCGUGCGCAGGGAUGUGAAAUCCCCGGGCUUAACCUGGGAACUGCGUUUGUGACUGGCGGGCUGGAGUGCGGAAGAGGGAGGUGGAAUUCCACGUGUAGCAGUGAAAUGCGUAGAGAUGUGGAGGAACACCGAUGGCGAAGGCAGCCUCCUGGUCUAGCACUGACGCUCAUGCACGAAAGCGUGGGGAGCAAACAGGAUUAGAUACCCGGGAAGUC